GCAGCGGAGGACCGAACCAGUUCAUGUUGAAAAAUGUUUGGAUGAGCUGUGGAUAGGGGUGAAAGGCCAAUCAAACUCAGUGAUAGCUGGUUCUCUUCGAAAUAGCUUUAGGGCUAGCCUUGCGUAAAUAGUUUGUGGGGGUAGAGCUACUGAUUGUUCGCGGGCCCUUACCGGGGUACCAAGAACUAUUAAACUCCGAAUACCAUGAACCGUACCGCAGGAGUCAGACUAUGGGGGAUAAGCUUCAUGGUCGAGAGGGAGACAGCCCAGACCGCCGGCUAAGGUCCCCAAUCCGGACUUAGUGGUUUGAAGGAUGUGAUGUUGCAUAAACAGCCAGGAUGUUGGCUUAGAGGCAGCCAUCAUUUAAAGAGUGCGUAAUAGCUCACUGGUCGAGUGAUAUCGCGCCGAAGAUGAUCGGGACUGAAGUCCAGAACCGAAGCCGCGGAUCGUGAAUUUAUUCACGGUGGUAGAAGAGCGUUGUAUGCGGGUCGAAGCCGAAGAGGGAUCUGAGGUGGACUGCAUACAAGUGACCAUGCAGGCAUGAGUAGCGAAAAACCGGAUGAGAAUUCCGGUCACCGAAAACCUAAGGUUUCCCGGGGAAGGUUCGUCCGCCCUGGGUUAGUCGGGACCUAAGGCGAGGCCGAAAGGCGUAGUCGAUGGAGGACAGGUUAAUAUUCCUGUACCACCUUGUUGGAGUGAUGGAGGGACGCAGUAAGUCAGGUGAGCCAACUGCUGAAUAUGUUGGUCGAAGGCCGUAGGGCGCACGAUAGGCAAAUCCGUCGUGCUUUCAACCCGAGAGUCGUAAGGUAGCCGAACGCAAGUUUGGCGAAUUCACUGUGACGACGCUGACGAGAAAAGCUUCUAAACGUUGAAAACAGGGUGCCCGUACCGAAACCGACACAGGUAGGUGAGGCGAGUAGCCUAAGGUGCGCGAGAGAAACCAACGUUAAGGAACUCGGCAAAUUGACCCCGUAACUUAGGGAUAAGGGGUGCCGCUUCAGGUGAAGGGACUUGCUCCCGGAGCCCGGAGCGGUUGCAACAAAGAGGCUGGUGCGACUGUUUAACAAAAACACAGCUCUAUGCUAACUCGCAAGAGGAUGUAUAUGGAGUGACACGUGACCAAUGCCAAAAGGUCAAUGGGAGAGGUUAGCGCAAGCGAAGCUUCGAUCUGAAGCCCUGGUGAAUGUCGGCCGUAACUAUAACGGUCCUAAGGUAGCGAAAUUCCUUGUCGGGUAAGUUCC
Molecule: ribosomal RNA, 1241 nt
Filed under: human gut metagenome
Description: bacterial LSU rRNA
Rfam family: Bacterial large subunit ribosomal RNA
Source: RNAcentral